Molecule: ribosomal RNA, 406 nt
Filed under: uncultured bacterium
Lineage: Bacteria
Description: partial 16S ribosomal RNA
Rfam family: Bacterial small subunit ribosomal RNA
Source: RNAcentral
AUUGAACGCUGGCGGCAGGCCUAACACAUGCAAGUCGAACGAGUGGCGGACGGGUGAGUAAUGUCUGGGAAACUGCCUGAUGGCGGGGGAUAACUACUGGAAACGGUAGCUAAUACCGCAUACCAUCGGAUGUGCCCAGAUGGGAUUAGCCAGUAGGUGGGGUAAAGGCUCACCUAGGCGACGAUCCCUAGCUGGUCUGAGAGGAUGACCGGCCACACUGGAACUGAGACACGGUCCAGACUCCUACGGGAGGCAGCAGUGGGGAAUAUUGCGCAAUGGGCGCAAGCCUGAUGCAGCAAUGCCGCGUGAAUGAAGAAGGCCUUCGGGUUGUAAAGCACUUUCAGCAGGGAGGCGGUACCCGAAGAGGAAGCACCGGCUAACUCCGUGCCAGCAGCCGCGGUAAUAC